GAGGCAGCAGUAAGGAAUAUUGGUCAAUGGGCGGAAGCCUGAACCAGCCAUGCCGCGUGCAGGAUGACUGCCCUAUGGGUUGUAAACUGCUUUUGUCCAGGAAUAAACCUAAAUACGUGUAUUUAGCUGAAUGUACUGGAAGAAUAAGGAUCGGCUAACUCCGUGCCAGCAGCCGCGGUAAUACGGAGGAUCCGAGCGUUAUCCGGAUUUAUUGGGUUUAAAGGGUGCGUAGGCGGCCUAUUAAGUCAGGGGUGAAAUACGGUGGCUCAACCAUCGCAGUGCCUUUGAUACUGAUGGGCUUGAAUCCAUUUGAAGUGGGCGGAAUAAGACAAGUAGCGGUGAAAUGCAUAGAUAUGUCUUAGAACUCCGAUUGCGAAGGCAGCUCACUAAGCUGGUAUUGACGCUGAUGCACGAAAGCGUGGGGAUCGAACAGGAUUAGAUACCCUGGUAGUCCACGCCCUAAACGAUGAUAACUCGAUGUUGGCGAUAGACAGCCAGCGUCCCAGCGAAAGCGUUAAGUUAUCCACCUGGGGAGUACGCCCGCAAGGGUGAAACUCAAAGGAAUUGACGGGGGCCCGCACAAGCGGAGGAGCAUGUGGUUUAAUUCGAUGAUACGCGAGGAACCUUACCCGGGCUUGAAAGUUAGUGAAGAGUGCAGAGACGCACUCGUCCUUCGGGACACGAAACUAGGUGCUGCAUGGCUGUCGUCAGCUCGUGCCGUGAGGUGUUGGGUUAAGUCCCGCAACGAGCGCAACCCCUAUGUUUAGUUGCCAGCAUUUAAGGUGGGGACUCUAAACAGACUGCCUGUGCAAACAGAGAGGAAGGUGGGGACGACGUCAAGUCAUCAUGGCCCUUACGUCCGGGGCUACACACGUGCUACAAUGGAUGGUACAGCGGGCAGCUACAUAGCAAUAUGAUGCUAAUCUCUAAAAGCCAUUCACAGUUCGGAUUGGGGUCUGCAACUCGACCCCAUGAAGUUGGAUUCGCUAGUAAUCGCGUAUCAGCAAUGACGCGGUGAAUACGUUCCCGGGCCUUGUACACACCGCCCGUCAAGCCAUGAAAGUUGGGGGUACCUAAAGCAUGUUACCGCAAGGAGCGUGUUAGGGUAAAACCGAUAAUUGGGGCUAAGUCGUAACAAGGUAGCCGUAAAGGGCGACACGCGAUUGCAGUCUUGAG
This 1176-nucleotide ribosomal RNA is filed under the name Sphingobacterium sp. Its description in RNAcentral is "bacterial SSU rRNA". It matches the Rfam family "Bacterial small subunit ribosomal RNA", at positions 345 to 1533 of the family's 1533-position model. The record is from RNAcentral. Lineage: Bacteria; Pseudomonadati; Bacteroidota; Sphingobacteriia; Sphingobacteriales; Sphingobacteriaceae.